RNAcentral lists this ribosomal RNA (623 nucleotides) under Phaeovulum veldkampii DSM 11550. RNAcentral's name for it is "bacterial SSU rRNA". It matches the Rfam family "Bacterial small subunit ribosomal RNA", at positions 920 to 1533 of the family's 1533-position model. The record is from RNAcentral. Lineage: Bacteria; Pseudomonadati; Pseudomonadota; Alphaproteobacteria; Rhodobacterales; Paracoccaceae.
CCCGCACAAGCGGUGGAGCAUGUGGUUUAAUUCGAAGCAACGCGAAGAACCUUACCAACUCUUGACAUCCCCCUGACCGGUACAGAGAUGUACCUUCCCCUUCCGGGGCAGGGUGACAGGUGGUGCAUGGUUGUCGUCAGCUCGUGUCGUGAGAUGUUGGGUUAAGUCCCGCAACGAGCGCAACCCUUGUCCUUAGUUGCCAGCAUUAAGUUGGGCACUCUAAGGAAGACUGCCGGUGACAAACCGGAGGAAGGUGGGGAUGACGUCAAAUCAUCAUGCCCCUUAUGAGUUGGGCUACACACGUGCUACAAUGGACGGUACAAAGGGCAGCGAAGCCGCGAGGUGGAGCCAAUCCCAGAAAGCCGUUCUCAGUUCGGAUUGCAGGCUGCAACUCGCCUGCAUGAAGUCGGAAUCGCUAGUAAUCGCAGGUCAGCAUACUGCGGUGAAUACGUUCCCGGGUCUUGUACACACCGCCCGUCACACCACGAGAGUUUGUAACACCCGAAGUCGGUGAGGUAACCUUUUUGGAGCCAGCCGCCGAAGGUGGGACAGAUGAUUGGGGUGAAGUCGUAACAAGGUAGCCGUAUCGGAAGGUGCGGCUGGAUCACCUCCUUUCUAAGGAA